Molecule: ribosomal RNA, 815 nt
Filed under: uncultured bacterium
Lineage: Bacteria
Description: bacterial SSU rRNA
Rfam family: Bacterial small subunit ribosomal RNA
Source: RNAcentral
AGAGUUUGAUCCUGGCUCAGAACGAACGCUGGCGGCGUGGAUAAGACAUGCAAGUCGAACGCUGACAUUCAGGUAGCAAUAUUUGGAUGUCGGAGUGGCGCAAGGGUGCGUAACACGUGGGUAAUUUGCCGUGAAGUUUGGGAUAACUUGCUGAAAGGCGAGCUAAUACCGGAUGUGAAUUGUUGAAGGCAUCUUCGAAAAUUCAAAGUUGGGGACCGCAAGGCCUGACGCUUUACGAUAAGCCCGCGGCCUAUCAGCUAGUUGGUGAGGUAACGGCUCACCAAGGCUAAGACGGGUAGCUGGUCUGAGAGGACGACCAGCCUCACUGGAACUGAGACACGGUCCAGACACCUACGGGUGGCAGCAGUCGAGAAUUUUUCUCAAUGGGCGAAAGCCUGAAGGAGCGACGCCGCGUGGGGGAUGAAUGGCUUCGGCCCGUAAACCCCUGUCAUUUGUGAACAAAUUGCUUCACCUAACACGUGAAGCAUUGAUUGUAACGGAAGAGGAAGGGACGGCUAACUCUGUGCCAGCAGCCGCGGUAAUACAGAGGUCCCAAGCGUUGUUCGGAUUCACUGGGCGUAAAGGGUGCGUAGGCGGUUUGAUAAGUCUGAUGUGAAAUCCCGCAGCUUAACUGCGGAACUGCAUUGGAAACUAUUUGACUAGAGGAAUGGAGGGGAGACUGGAAUACUCGGUGUAGCAGUGAAAUGCGUAGAUAUCAAGUGGAACACCAGUGGCGAAGGCGAGUCUCUGGACAUUUCCUGACGCUGAGGCACGAAAGCCAGGGGAGCAAACGGGAUUAGAUACCCUAGUAGUCC